RNAcentral lists this unclassified non-coding RNA (362 nucleotides) under Hevea brasiliensis (rubber tree). The record is from RNAcentral. Lineage: Eukaryota; Viridiplantae; Streptophyta; Magnoliopsida; Malpighiales; Euphorbiaceae.
AUGCCCUAUCUUCCCAAGUGGCUUCUUCAGAAGUAAAAUUAGUUCACUGCACCAAAUCUUGAACCACUUGCUGGCCAUUCCUGUUAAUGGUUCUUGUUUUUAGAGUAGCAGCGGGCACCACAAUGAAUUCUUCCUCAGUCAUAGCAGGUAGCUGUGAUUGUGGAACCGCAUUGUCUCCUAUUUUCUUUUUAAGGAAGGGGACAUGGAAGACAGGAUGUAUAGUUGCAUUGUAAGGCAAUUGGAGAUUACAAACAACCUGUCCAAUCCUUUUCUCCACUUGGAAAGGCCCAUAAUAUUUAGCUGCCAACUUCAAACUUUUCCUGACAGCCAAGGAUGUUUGCCUAUAAUGUUGCAACUUAAAG